UACAGAGGGUGCGAGCGUUAAUCGGAAUUACUGGGCGUAAAGCGCACGUAGGCGGCUUCGUAAGUCGGAUGUGAAAUCCCCGGGCUCAACCUGGGAACUGCAUUCGAGACUGCGAUGCUCGAGUAUGGGAGAGGACAGCGGAAUUCCGGGUGUAGCGGUGAAAUGCGUAGAUAUCCGGAGGAACAUCAGUGGCGAAGGCGGCUGUCUGGCCCAAUACUGACGCUCAGGUGCGAAAGCGUGGGGAGCAAACAGGAUUAGAAACCCGAGUAGUCC
Molecule: ribosomal RNA, 273 nt
Filed under: uncultured prokaryote
Description: partial 16S ribosomal RNA
Rfam family: Bacterial small subunit ribosomal RNA
Source: RNAcentral